RNAcentral lists this ribosomal RNA (460 nucleotides) under uncultured bacterium. RNAcentral describes it as "partial 16S ribosomal RNA". It matches the Rfam family "Bacterial small subunit ribosomal RNA", at positions 338 to 795 of the family's 1533-position model. The record is from RNAcentral.
CCUACGGGAGGCAGCAGUGAGGAAUAUUGGUCAAUGGACGAGAGUCUGAACCAGCCAAGUCGCGUGAAGGAUGACUGCCCUAUGGGUUGUAAACUUCUUUUGUAAAGGAAUAAAACGAGGCACGUGUGCCUUUUUGCAUGUACUUUAUGAAUAAGGAUCGGCUAACUCCGUGCCAGCAGCCGCGGUAAUACGGAGGAUCCGAGCGUUAUCCGGAUUUAUUGGGUUUAAAGGGAGCGUAGAUGGGUUGUUAAGUCAGGUGGGAAAGUUUGCGGCUCAACCGUAAAAUUGCAAUUGAUACUGGCAGUCUUGAGUGCAGGUGAGGUAGGCGGAAUUCGUGGUGUAGCGGUGAAAUGCUUAGAUAUCACGAAGAACCCCGAUUGCGAAGGCAGCUUACUAAACUGUGACUGACAUUGAUGCUCGAAAGUGUGGGUAUCAAACAGGAUUAGAUACCCCGGUAGUC